GUGAGGAAUAUUGGUCAAUGGGCGGGAGCCUGAACCAGCCAAGUCGCGUGAAGGAAGAAGGAUCUAUGGUUCGUAAACUUCUUUUGCAGGGGAAUAAAGUGCAGGACGUGUCCUGUUUUGUAUGUACCCUGAGAAUAAGGAUCGGCUAACUCCGUGCCAGCAGCCGCGGUAAUACGGAGGAUCCGAGCGUUAUCCGGAUUUAUUGGGUUUAAAGGGUGCGUAGGUGGUUUGAUAAGUCAGCGGUGAAAGUUUGCAGCUUAACUGUAAAAAUGCCGUUGAAACUGUCGGACUUGAGUGUAAAUGAGGUAGGCGGAAUGCGUGGUGUAGCGGUGAAAUGCAUAGAUAUCACGCAGAACUCCGAUUGCGAAGGCAGCUUACUAAGCUACAACUGACACUGAAGCACGAAAGCGUGGGGAUCAAACAGAAUUAGAAACCCCAGUAGUCC
RNAcentral lists this ribosomal RNA (445 nucleotides) under uncultured bacterium. RNAcentral describes it as "partial 16S ribosomal RNA". It matches the Rfam family "Bacterial small subunit ribosomal RNA", at positions 354 to 796 of the family's 1533-position model. The record is from RNAcentral.